UGGGGAAUAUUGGACAAUGGGCGAAAGCCUGAUCCAGCCAUGCCGCGUGUGUGAAGAAGGUCUUCGGAUUGUAAAGCACUUUAAGUUGGGAGGAAGGGCAUUAACCUAAUACGUUAGUGUUUUGACGUUACCGACAGAAUAAGCACCGGCUAACUCUGUGCCAGCAGCCGCGGUAAUACAGAGGGCGCAAGCGUUAAUAGGAAUUACUGGGCGUAAAGCGCGCGUAGGUGGUUUGUUAAGUUGGAUGUGAAAUCCCCGGGCUCAACCUGGGAACUGCAUUCAAAACUGACUGACUAGAGUAUGGUAGAGGGUGGUGGAAUUUCCUGUGUAGCGGUGAAAUGCGUAGAUAUAGGAAGGAACACCAGUGGCGAAGGCGACCACCUGGACUAAUACUGACACUGAGGUGCGAAAGCGUGGGGAGCAAACA
RNAcentral lists this ribosomal RNA (427 nucleotides) under uncultured bacterium. RNAcentral's name for it is "partial 16S ribosomal RNA". It matches the Rfam family "Bacterial small subunit ribosomal RNA", at positions 355 to 774 of the family's 1533-position model. The record is from RNAcentral.